Molecule: ribosomal RNA, 468 nt
Filed under: uncultured bacterium
Lineage: Bacteria
Description: partial 16S ribosomal RNA
Rfam family: Bacterial small subunit ribosomal RNA
Source: RNAcentral
GACGAACGCUGGCGGCGUGCUUAACACAUGCAAGUCGAACGGAAAGGCCCUGCUUUUGUGGGGUGCUCGAGUGGCGAACGGGUGAGUAACACGUGAGUAACCUGCCCUUGACUUUGGGAUAACUUCAGGAAACUGGGGCUAAUACCGGAUAGGAGCUCCUGCUGCAUGGUGUGGGUUGGAAAGUUUCGGCGGUUGGGGAUGGACUCGCGGCUUAUCAGCUUGUUGGUGGGGUAGUGGCUUACCAAGGCUUUGACGGGUAGCCGGCCUGAGAGGGUGACCGGCCACAUGGGGACUGAGAUACGGACCAGACUCCUAAGGGAGGCAGCAGGGGGGAAUAUUGCACAAUGGGCGGAAGCCUGAUGCAGCAACGCCGCGUGCGGGAUGACGGCCUUCGGGUGGUAAACCGCUGUCGCCUGUGACGAAGCGUGAGUGACGGUAAUGGGUAAAGAAGCACCGGCUAACUACGUG